Molecule: transfer RNA, 76 nt
Filed under: Desulfovibrio sp.
Lineage: Bacteria; Pseudomonadati; Thermodesulfobacteriota; Desulfovibrionia; Desulfovibrionales; Desulfovibrionaceae
Also listed under: 1 other name
Description: tRNA-Ala
Rfam family: tRNA
About the family: Transfer RNA (tRNA) molecules are approximately 80 nucleotides in length. Their secondary structure includes four short double-helical elements and three loops (D, anti-codon, and T loops).
Source: RNAcentral
GGGGACGUAGCUCAGUUGGGAGAGCGCUGCCUUCGCAAGGCAGAAGUCGGGAGUUCAAGUCUCCUCGUCUCCACCA